RNAcentral lists this ribosomal RNA (107 nucleotides) under Pteropus alecto (black flying fox). The record is from RNAcentral. Lineage: Eukaryota; Metazoa; Chordata; Mammalia; Chiroptera; Pteropodidae.
GUCUACGUCCGUGCUACCCUGAACAAGCCCGAUCCCAUCUGAUCUCGGAAGCUAAGCAGGGUCGGGCCUGAUGGGAGACCACCUAGGAAGACCAGGUGCUGUAGGUG